This is a non-coding RNA of Arachis ipaensis, 1257 nucleotides long. NCBI's taxonomy places the organism in Eukaryota, Viridiplantae, Streptophyta, Magnoliopsida, Fabales, Fabaceae. The record is from RefSeq and is a predicted model, not a curated record.
GGAUUUUGAUAAUCGGUUGUAUGCGAGGCUAUCAAGUACCUGAUAAAGACGCCAAAGGAAAAGAAAAGAACAAAUAGUAAAAUAAUUAUUGAGUUCUAAAUCAUGUAAGUUCUCAAGAUAAUUAAACACGAAAUUCAAAUUACAAAGACGACAGAGUAUAAUCGCCGCCAAAAUCAUGCACAAGUUGAACUUUGACUACGGGCCAAAAAACUUUCGUGUUUAUAUAUGCAGCUACUCUAGAGGGGGUAACAUAACAGCACGAAUCUUUAACCGCCCCUUAAUUCCCAUUAUUCUAUGUACAUAACACCAUGUUUGGUAACUGUCUUAGAACAGAAAUAUAAAAGACAUUAGGAGAUACAAUCAUAUAUGGAGGAGACAAUUAGACGAAUAAGCAAAAAGUCUUUGUCUUCGGACAAAAUUUGCCCAAUUUUCUACCCGCCAACAAAGAAGGGACAGUGGAGCAUGGAGACAGAGAAAAACACCAACCAUCUUGUGUCUCUAUUUUCUAUCCUAAGACACUUUGCCAAACACAGUCUAAUAGAUGUGGGCUGCUGCUGGAAGUAAUGAAUGUAAGUUGAAAGGUCUUAGCUUGCAUUAUAAAAGCAAAACCUUAACUUUGUAUAAUAGACCUUCUUCCCAAAUCGGCGAUCAAGAAUGAGCAGAAAGAACUUUCUUGAUCGAGAAUCAGCCCAUUAGGUGUUUUCUGCUUCUUCUUCGCUUAAAUUUUCUCUAUCUAGAGGUAGAAUCCUAUGAUUAUCUAGAACUGUUGCCUUACACCGAAGUCUCUAUAUGAGAAUCUUCCAUGUAUCUUGUUCAUUGAUCUACUUGACAUGAAAAACUGCUGGCACUUUCGGGUAUAAGGUGCAUAAAAUAUAACAUAUAAAUAUGAAAGUGCAUAACACUAAUAUAAUUGCAGAAGUAUUAAGAUUUGAUCUACUUGAUAAGAUUUGAUCUGUGUACUGAAAGUCGCAAGAAACACUCAGAUAGAGAAGCCACAAGGUGGGAGGUGAAAUAAAAUGAAGAUGGAGAAUGAAGAAGGUGAAGAAGGAUAGUUGAGAAAUAAAAUGAAGAUAACCUUGCAUGUAAAAAAGAUAAGGAAGGUGAAGAAGGGUAAUUGAGAAAUAAAAUGAAGAUGACUGUGUAAGUAGAAAAGGAAGAAGAGUAGUUGAGAGAAUAAAUUUUGCAAUCAAUUCUCAACAGUAAGAAUUGAAAGCAAAAGCUAGAAAAUAUUGCUUUCAAAAUCAUGUUGAAAAAAAA